This 864-nucleotide ribosomal RNA is filed under the name Bacillus sp. SB17. Its description in RNAcentral is "bacterial SSU rRNA". It matches the Rfam family "Bacterial small subunit ribosomal RNA", at positions 61 to 897 of the family's 1533-position model. Lineage: Bacteria; Bacillati; Bacillota; Bacilli; Caryophanales; Bacillaceae. The record is from RNAcentral.
GUCGAGCGGAUUGAUGGGAGCUUGCUCCCAUCAGUCAGCGGCGGACGCGGUGAGUAACACGUGGGUAACCUGCCUGUAAGACUGGGAUAACUCCGGGAAACCGGGGCUAAUACCGGAUAACUCAUUUCCUCGCAUGAGGAAAUGUUGAAAGGUGGCUUUUAGCUAUCACUUACAGAUGGACCCGCGGCGCAUUAGCUAGUUGGUGAGGUAACGGCUCACCAAGGCGACGAUGCGUAGCCGACCUGAGAGGGUGAUCGGCCACACUGGGACUGAGACACGGCCCAGACUCCUACGGGAGGCAGCAGUAGGGAAUCUUCCGCAAUGGACGAAAGUCUGACGGAGCAACGCCGCGUGAGUGAUGAAGGUUUUCGGAUCGUAAAACUCUGUUGUUAGGGAAGAACAAGUACCGUUCGAAUAGGGCGGUACCUUGACGGUACCUAACCAGAAAGCCACGGCUAACUACGUGCCAGCAGCCGCGGUAAUACGUAGGUGGCAAGCGUUGUCCGGAAUUAUUGGGCGUAAAGCGCGCGCAGGUGGUUUCUUAAGUCUGAUGUGAAAGCCCACGGCUCAACCGUGGAGGGUCAUUGGAAACUGGGGAACUUGAGUGCAGAAGAGGAAAGUGGAAUUCCAAGUGUAGCGGUGAAAUGCGUAGAUAUUUGGAGGAACACCAGUGGCGAAAGGCGACUUUCUGGUCUGUAACUGACACUGAGGCGCGAAAGCGUGGGGGAGCAAACAGGAUUAGAUACCCUGGUAGUCCACGCCGUAAACGAUGAGUGCUAGUGUUAGGGGGGUUUUCCGCCCCUUAGUGCUGCAGCUAAACGCAUUAAGCACUCCCGCCUGGGGGAGUACGGUCGCCAGGACUGA